UACGUAGGGGGCAAGCGUUGUCCGGAAUUAUUGGGCGUAAAGCGCGCGCAGGCGGUCUUUUAAGUCUGAUGUGAAAGUCCAUGGCUCAACCAUGGGAUUGCAUUGGAAACUGGGAGACUUGAGUGCAGUAGAGGAGAGUGGAAUUCCUGGUGUAGCGGUGAAAUGCGUAGAGAUCAGGAGGAACACCAAUGGCGAAGGCAGCUCUCUGGACUGUAACUGACGCUGAGGCGCGAAAGCGUGGGUAGCAAACAGG
RNAcentral lists this ribosomal RNA (253 nucleotides) under uncultured bacterium. Its description in RNAcentral is "partial 16S ribosomal RNA". It matches the Rfam family "Bacterial small subunit ribosomal RNA", at positions 524 to 776 of the family's 1533-position model. The record is from RNAcentral.